Molecule: long non-coding RNA, 1209 nt
Organism: Mus musculus (house mouse)
Lineage: Eukaryota; Metazoa; Chordata; Mammalia; Rodentia; Muridae
Product: predicted gene 29152
Exons: 4
Source: RefSeq, a predicted model, not a curated record
AUCUGUGGGGGUGUAAGUAGGACGACUGUUAGGAAACGUCUCUCCUCACUGCUCCAGAGAAGCAUGAGCAGACGAGGAGAGUGGGGCUCAAGGCCAGAGCAUGAGAGGAGCAGAAACAGUUACUGGCGGCGAGUCUUUCAUGAAGGCUAUGGGGCAUGUGGAGAUUCCAGGGGCAUGCAAUCACUGGCACAUUAAACAGCACCUCUGCAGGAAGUGUUUCAUGGGGCAGCUAGAGGGCUGGUAAGGACUGAGAAAGGCCUGGAAGCCUAUACCAAAGGCAACAUUCUGAUGGUGUGCACAGGAAGAGGAGGAGACUAUCGCUGUGAUGCCGCAUACUGAGGUGUGUGACAGUGUGCACAGGACACCUGAGACUGAUUUAACGAUGCCCACCCAAAGUGAAGUUUCCUAUUCCAUCAAUUACCUUUAUUUGAUUUUUCUGCAUAGCCAAAGGGAAAGAGCGCGUCCAAGUGAGAUGUCAGUGAUUGGAGGCAGGUGAUGUCGACAGAAAGGUAUUUCCUCCUACUGGGUUAAAAAGGCAUGUGGAAGUCCCUGGGUAAUAGCCCCUGCAGUUUGCCUCCUGAACUGUCCUGCCUUGGAGGAGACAGCACGUGGAUGGGAGGAACAACAGAACUGUCCAGGCAGCUUUGAUGUCCUCCAACCACAGAGUCAGUAGCAGAGACUAUGCAAGAGGAGUGAGGAGCUGGAGACAAUACUGCCAGACAGCACUCUCCCUUUCCUUUCUCCUGACUUGAACACUGUGGGGUGGGGACAGCUCUGUGUGGAACUCUUCUUUAUCUGGCUGCUGACCCUGGCCUAGGCCUGCCAAGCACUGCCACGGAAAAUACCUGUUAUUGGAGUCGAAGAAGGAUCCUGGAAAAUACAUGUUCUGUAUGAAGAAACUGAGGGAGAAUGUGCAUGCCUAUGAAGACUCUACUCUCACUUUGUACCAAAAAUAAAAAAGAUAAAAAAAAAAAAAAAAAGGAUUAAGAGUUGACACUGAACAUCUGAGGCAGGGCACAGUUACAUCCAACCUCCCUGAAGCCACCGUGUUAUGAUUGUACCCAAGCUGGUCAAGAGAGGUGCCUAGAGAACAGCUGCCCCUUCCAAUGCCAGCCUUCAUGUGACUGUCCCUCAGCUGUCAUCUGACUCAAGUAGGUGAGUCGCCUCAGUAAGGACUAACUAGAUGGUUCUAAACUUGGAGAGAUAUCA